AUGAGUAGGCACAAUUGGGCUAGGAACCCAAAGUGCUCCUUCUGCAAUGAGAGGAAGACCUCUCAACAUCUGUUUUUUAUACGCCCCGAGGCCAGGGUAAUUUGGCAUACGAUAGGCUCGGUUCUUGGUACGAGUUGCUGUCCUAACAACCUGUGGCAAUACUACUUAUGGUGCUAUGUUUAUCUUCCUGACAGGGUCAAAUAUUAUACCUUAUGCCUUGCUGCGAUCUGCUGGGCAGUUUGGAAUAGCCGUAAUCGUGCAACAUUUGAAUUUAAGCUUCCUAAAACACCAUUUGAGAUUAUCUUUUCUGCCUAUGUAUUUAUGCAUUAUUGGGCGGGUCUGAUGAAAGGUACUGAGCGGACUGCAAUGGAGCGUGGAUCAGGGAUGCUGAAGGAGAAGGCUUGUAAUGUGAUGAGGAUUCGCACGACGGUUGCAGAUGAAGCGACAUCCAACUGA
RNAcentral lists this ribosomal RNA (456 nucleotides) under Triticum aestivum (bread wheat). RNAcentral describes it as "partial small subunit ribosomal RNA". Lineage: Eukaryota; Viridiplantae; Streptophyta; Magnoliopsida; Poales; Poaceae. The record is from RNAcentral.